Non-coding RNA from Podarcis lilfordi (Lilford's wall lizard), 71 nucleotides. The record is from the annotation of a GenBank genome assembly. NCBI's taxonomy places the organism in Eukaryota, Metazoa, Chordata, Lepidosauria, Squamata, Lacertidae.
GAAUUUCGCUCAGUUGGUGGAGCAUGAGACUCUUAACCUCAUAGUUGUGGGUUUGAGCCCCACGUUGGGCA